AAAAGACUCUCGGCAACGGAUAUCUCGGCUCAUGCAUCGAUGAAGAACGUAGCAAAAUGCGAUACUUGGUGUGAAUUGCAGAAUCCCGUGAACCAUCGAGUUUUUGAACGCAAGUUGCGCCCGAAGCCAUCCGGUUGAGGGCACGCCUGCCUGGGCGUCACG
This 162-nucleotide ribosomal RNA is filed under the name Taraxacum luridum. Its description in RNAcentral is "5.8S ribosomal RNA". It matches the Rfam family "5.8S ribosomal RNA". Rfam says of the family: 5.8S ribosomal RNA (5.8S rRNA) is a component of the large subunit of the eukaryotic ribosome. It is transcribed by RNA polymerase I as part of the 45S precursor that also contains 18S and 28S rRNA. Functionally, it is thought that 5.8S rRNA may be involved in ribosome translocation. Lineage: Eukaryota; Viridiplantae; Streptophyta; Magnoliopsida; Asterales; Asteraceae. The record is from RNAcentral.